CUAAACCCAGUUACAGCCUCUGUGUAAACUGAAGUGAGCGAGGAGAUUUACUCAUCCUGUGACCACCCAAGGCAGGCCAGAUUUUCUGGCAGGAGUGUCACUGUUUACCAACCAGACAACAAAGUGACAGUAUUUUGUCAUAGACAACAAGGACCGAUGAGAUCAC
RNAcentral lists this long non-coding RNA (166 nucleotides) under Capra hircus (goat). RNAcentral's name for it is "lncRNA (ENSCHIG00000005498.1)". Lineage: Eukaryota; Metazoa; Chordata; Mammalia; Artiodactyla; Bovidae. The record is from RNAcentral.